This 72-nucleotide transfer RNA is filed under the name Candidatus Tremblayella phenacoccinincola. RNAcentral's name for it is "Candidatus Tremblaya phenacola tRNA". It matches the Rfam family "tRNA". From Rfam's summary of the family: Transfer RNA (tRNA) molecules are approximately 80 nucleotides in length. Their secondary structure includes four short double-helical elements and three loops (D, anti-codon, and T loops). The record is from Rfam by way of RNAcentral. Lineage: Bacteria; Pseudomonadati; Pseudomonadota; Betaproteobacteria.
GGGCCGUUAGCUCAGUGGUAGAGCAGUUGACUUUUAAUCAAUUGGUCGCAGGUUCGAGACCUGCACGACUCA